GCCAGACUCCUACGGGAGGCAGCAGUGGGGGAUAUUGCACAAUGGGGGGAACCCUGAUGCAGCGACGCCGCGUGGGUGAAGAAGCGCCUCGGCGCGUAAAGCCCUGUCAGCAGGGAAGAAAAUGACGGUACCUGAGUAAGAAGCCCCGGCUAACUACGUGCCAGCAGCCGCGGUAAUACGUAGGGGGCAAGCGUUAUCCGGAUUUACUGGGUGUAAAGGGAGCGCAGACGGCAGUGCAAGUCUGGAGUGAAAGCCCGGGGCCCAACCCCGGGACUGCUCUGGAAACUGUACGGCUAGAGUACGGGAGGGGCAGGCGGAAUUCCUAGUGUAGCGGUGAAAUGCGUAGAUAUUAGGAGGAACACCGGCGGCGAAGGCGGCCUGCUGGACCGAAACUGACGUUGAGGCUCGAAAGCGUGGGGAGCAAACAGGAUUAGAUACCCCAGUAUUA
This 448-nucleotide ribosomal RNA is filed under the name uncultured bacterium. Its description in RNAcentral is "bacterial SSU rRNA". It matches the Rfam family "Bacterial small subunit ribosomal RNA", at positions 330 to 795 of the family's 1533-position model. The record is from RNAcentral.